UACGUAGGGUGCAAGCGUUGUCCGGAAUUAUUGGGCGUAAAGAGCUCGUAGGCGGUCUGUCGCGUCGGAUGUGAAGGCCCGGGGCUUAACCCCGGGUCUGCAUUCGAUACGGGCAGACUAGAGUGUGGUAGGGGAGAUCGGAAUUCCUGGUGUAGCGGUGAAAUGCGCAGAUAUCAGGAGGAACACCGGUGGCGAAGGCGGAUCUCUGGGCCAUUACUGACGCUGAGGAGCGAAAGCGUGGGGAGCGAACAGG
This 253-nucleotide ribosomal RNA is filed under the name uncultured bacterium. Its description in RNAcentral is "partial 16S ribosomal RNA". It matches the Rfam family "Bacterial small subunit ribosomal RNA", at positions 524 to 776 of the family's 1533-position model. The record is from RNAcentral.